CUGCCCGUAGCUCAACUGGAUAGAGCACCAGCCUUCUAAGCUGGGGGUCGGGGGUUCGAGUCCCUCCGGGCAGGCCA
Molecule: transfer RNA, 77 nt
Filed under: Vitreoscilla sp.
Lineage: Bacteria; Pseudomonadati; Pseudomonadota; Betaproteobacteria; Neisseriales; Neisseriaceae
Also listed under: 18 other names
Description: tRNA-Arg
Rfam family: tRNA
About the family: Transfer RNA (tRNA) molecules are approximately 80 nucleotides in length. Their secondary structure includes four short double-helical elements and three loops (D, anti-codon, and T loops).
Source: RNAcentral